GAUGAACGCUGGCGGCGUGCCUAAUACAUGCAAGUAGAACGCUGAAGCUUGGUGCUUGCACCGAGCGGAUGAGUUGCGAACGGGUGAGUAACGCGUAGGUAACCUGCCUCUUAGCGGGGGAUAACUAUUGGAAACGAUAGCUAAUACCGCAUAAAAGUCGAUAUCGCAUGAUAUUGAUUUGAAAGGUGCAAUUGCAUCACUAAGAGAUGGACCUGCGUUGUAUUAGCUAGUUGGUGAGGUAACGGCUCACCAAGGCGACGAUACAUAGCCGACCUGAGAGGGUGAUCGGCCACACUGGGACUGAGACACGGCCCAGACUCCUACGGGAGGCAGCAGUAGGGAAUCUUCGGCAAUGGGGGCAACCCUGACCGAGCAACGCCGCGUGAGUGAAGAAGGUUUUCGGAUCGUAAAGCUCUGUUGUAAGAGAAGAACGAGUGCGAGAGUGGAAAGUUCACACUGUGACGGUAACUACC
Molecule: ribosomal RNA, 473 nt
Filed under: Streptococcus parasanguinis
Lineage: Bacteria; Bacillati; Bacillota; Bacilli; Lactobacillales; Streptococcaceae
Description: bacterial SSU rRNA
Rfam family: Bacterial small subunit ribosomal RNA
Source: RNAcentral